AUUGAACGCUAGCGGGAUGCUUUACACAUGCAAGUCGAACGAGUGGCGGACGGGUGCGUAAUCUAUCGGAACGUGCCCAGUAGCGGGGGAUAACUACUCGAACGAGUGGCUAAUACCGCAUACUCUUGGAUCUGCCGAUAUCGGAUUAGCUAGUUGGUGGGGUAAAGGCUCACCAAGGCAACGAUCCGUAGCUGGUCUGAGAGGACGACCAGCCACACUGGGACGGAGACACGGCCCAGACUCCGACGGGAGGCAGCAGUGGGGAAUUUUGGACAAUGGGGGAAACCCUGAUGCAGCCAUGCCGCGUGUAUGAGAAGGCCUUCGGGUUGUAAAGUACUUUUGGCAGAGAAGCGGUAUCUGCAGAAUAAGCACCGGCUAACUACGUGCCAGCAGCCGCGGUAAUUC
RNAcentral lists this ribosomal RNA (405 nucleotides) under uncultured bacterium. Its description in RNAcentral is "partial 16S ribosomal RNA". It matches the Rfam family "Bacterial small subunit ribosomal RNA", at positions 30 to 526 of the family's 1533-position model. The record is from RNAcentral.